UCCCUGGAAGUCCAAUGGUUAGGGCUCCAUGUUUUUUACUGCCAAGGGCCUAGGUUCAAUUCCUGGUCAGGGAA
RNAcentral lists this transfer RNA (74 nucleotides) under Bos taurus (domestic cattle). It matches the Rfam family "tRNA". From Rfam's summary of the family: Transfer RNA (tRNA) molecules are approximately 80 nucleotides in length. Their secondary structure includes four short double-helical elements and three loops (D, anti-codon, and T loops). RNAcentral also lists the same sequence under 2 other names. Lineage: Eukaryota; Metazoa; Chordata; Mammalia; Artiodactyla; Bovidae. The record is from Rfam by way of RNAcentral.